UUGAGAGGAGCUGUCCUUAGUACGAGAGGACCGGGAUGGACGCACCGCUGGUGUACCAGUUGUUCUGCCAAGGGCAUAGCUGGGUAGCUAUGUGCGGAAGGGAUAAGUGCUGAAAGCAUCUAAGCAUGAAGCCCCCCUCAAGAUGAGAUUUCCCAUAGCGUAAGCUAGUAAGAUCCCUGAAAGAUGAUCAGGUUGAUAGGUUCGAGGUGGAAGCAUGGUGACAUGUGGAGCUGACGAAUACUAAUAGAUCGAGGACUUAACCAUAUAA
RNAcentral lists this ribosomal RNA (268 nucleotides) under Bacillus anthracis (anthrax bacterium). Its description in RNAcentral is "partial 23S ribosomal RNA". It matches the Rfam family "Bacterial large subunit ribosomal RNA", at positions 2662 to 2925 of the family's 2925-position model. Lineage: Bacteria; Bacillati; Bacillota; Bacilli; Caryophanales; Bacillaceae. The record is from RNAcentral.